AUUCAUCUAAGAGAGAGGAAAAGCAGGGAGACAUGAGAACAAGGGCAUGCUGGAUUACCCAGGUUUAGGCUUGUGUGGCUACACAGAAAUGAGAUGCAAAAGAGCACACAGGGUGGGCUAACAAUACAUUGAUGAUAACUACUUCCAUAGAGACAAAUGAAAAGUUUAUUUUCUAUGAUAUUUGUGUCUGGAAAAACAACAGCUGCAUUAAAAUAAUUUGAAUGGAAACAUUCUAUGGCAGUGAAGUUCAGAGGAAUAAGCACUUUGAACCAAAUUUAUGGUUGGACUUGAGGAUCUUAAAGGUUGUUUUCAACCUAAAUGAUUCCAUGAUUCUAUACUGUUUAAGUGUUUGGGCUGUAAGCUUCAGGCAUCAGGGAUGCUCUGAGCGGGGUUUGCAGCCUUGCAGGAGUUUGGAAAUGCUGCUGGUUGGUGAUGCCGUAUGUUCUGCCUGACCAACUGUCCUGGUUUCAGCUGGGAUAGAGUUAAUUUUAGCUGGUACAAUGCUGUGUUUUGGUUUUAGGAUGAGAAAAAUGUUGAUAUAGCACACUGAUUUUUUUAGUUGUUGCUAAGCAGAGUUUAUACCAAGUCAAGGACUUUUCAGCUUUGCAUGCCCAGGCAGCAAGGAGGCUGGAGAGGCACAAGAAGCUGGGAGGGGACACAGCUGGGACAGCUGACUCCAACUGGCCAGAGGGAUGUUCCAGUCCAUAUGGCAUCAUGCUCAGUAUAUAAAUUAGGGAGAAAAUGACCAGGAGUUGCUGCUCAGGAACUGACUGGACAUCGGUCGGUGAGUGAUACCUUUGACCUCUGACAUAUAGUGAAGAAAAGCCAAGGAAAGGCUGGCAGAGAGUGAAACCUUGAUGAGACUGCAGUUGUUCCACCUGUAUCCUUGCAGCCAAGAGGAGAAAAUGUGGAUGGAAUGGAUGAAUUACAAGAUGUAUUGGCUUGAUUUUGAACUUGUAAUGAUGACGUCUACUAUGAAGAAAAUGUGGAAUUACCCUGUCCUGGAGAGCUUACAGGUUGGCCUUAGACAGGGAGAGAACGAUGGGAUGGAGAGAAAUAGAGGAAAAGAGACAGUAAGACA
Molecule: long non-coding RNA, 1081 nt
Organism: Pseudopipra pipra
Lineage: Eukaryota; Metazoa; Chordata; Aves; Passeriformes; Pipridae
Exons: 3
Source: RefSeq, a predicted model, not a curated record